RNAcentral lists this ribosomal RNA (253 nucleotides) under uncultured bacterium. Its description in RNAcentral is "partial 16S ribosomal RNA". It matches the Rfam family "Bacterial small subunit ribosomal RNA", at positions 524 to 776 of the family's 1533-position model. The record is from RNAcentral.
UACGUAGGGUGCAGGCGUUAAUCGGAAUUACUGGGCGUAAAGCGUGCGCAGGCGGUUUCUUAAGUCAGAUGUGAAAGCCCCGGGCUUAACCUGGGAACUGCGUUUGAAACUGGGAGACUAGAGUGUGGCAGAGGGGGGUGGAAUUCCACGUGUAGCAGUGAAAUGCGUAGAGAUGUGGAGGAACACCGAUGGCGAAGGCAGCCCCCUGGGUCAAGAUUGACGCUCAUGCACGAAAGCGUGGGGAGCAAGCAGG